UCUGGGCGCAGGUGCAUUUAUUAGUGCGAAACCAAUCAUUGACUUUUGCUUAAACUAGAUAAACGAGCUUAUCGCAUGGUCUUGAACCGGCGAAAUUACUGUCAAGUAUCUGCCUUAUCAACUGACGUUGGUACUGUAUUGGAGUACCAUGGUGUUAACGAGUAACGGGGAAUCAGGGUUCGAUUCCGGAGAGGGAGCCUCAGAAACGGCUACCAUGUCUAAGGAUAGCAGCAGGCGCGAAAAUUACCCACUGUUAAAGCAACGAGGUAGUGACGAGAAAUAACAAGACCGUUCUCUUUGAGGUCGGUCAUUGGAAUGAGUACAAUCCAGAAACUUUAACGAGUAUCUACGAGAGGGCAAGUCUGGUGCCAGCAGCCGCGGUAAUUCCAGCUCUCGUAAGGUAUAGAAUUAUUGCUGUGGUUAAAAAGUUCGUAGUUGAAUUGAUGAUGGGGCUCGGGUCUACUUUUAUAAGUAUGCACUCGGUGCCUAUCAAUUUGUGCGUUUACGUUAUCGGCGCUUGCGUUGGUGCGUGGCGUACAAGAUUACUUUGAACGGCUUAAGUGCUCAAAGCACGUUUUAUGACUGAACACCGGUGCAUGGAAUAAUAGAACAAGGCUUCGGCCGGUUUUUAUUGGUUUUGACGGCUGUCGCAAUGGUUAACAGGAACAGUCGGGGGCAUUCGUAUCGCUGCGCGAGAGGUGAAAUUCGUGGACCGUAGCGAGACGUACUAAAGCGAAGGCACUUGCCAAGA
This 751-nucleotide ribosomal RNA is filed under the name Devibursaphelenchus kheirii. RNAcentral describes it as "SSU rRNA". It matches the Rfam family "Eukaryotic small subunit ribosomal RNA", at positions 190 to 963 of the family's 1831-position model. Lineage: Eukaryota; Metazoa; Nematoda; Chromadorea; Rhabditida; Aphelenchoididae. The record is from RNAcentral.